AUAAUAAUUAGUCUUUUAAUUGAAGGCUGGUAUGAAUGAUUGGACGAGAUAAAAUCUGUCUCAUUUAAAUUAUUUUUUUAAUUUAAUUUUUAAGUUAAAAAGCUUAAAUUUUAUUAUAGGACGAGAAGACCCUAUAGAGCUUUAUAAUUUAAAUUAAUUAUUUUUUAACUUCAAGAUUGUUAUUUUAAAUUAUUUUAUUGGGGCGAUAGGAAAAUUUGAUAAACUUUUUUAUUUUUAAACCAUAGAUUAAUGAUUAAUUGAUCCUAAAUUUUAGAUUAUUAGAUUAAGUUACCUUAGGGAUAACAGCGUUAUUUUUUUUUAGAGUUCAUAUUGAUAAAAAAGAUUGC
Molecule: ribosomal RNA, 347 nt
Filed under: Sterictiphorinae sp.
Lineage: Eukaryota; Metazoa; Arthropoda; Insecta; Hymenoptera; Argidae
Description: partial large subunit ribosomal RNA
Source: RNAcentral